UUAAGCGACUAAGCGUACACGGUGGAUGCCCUGGCAGUCAGAGGCGAUGAAGGGCGUGCUAAUCUGCGAUAAGCGCCGGUAAGGUGAUAUGAACCGUUAUAACCGGCGAUACCCGAAUGGGGAAACCCAGUGUGAUUCGUCACACUAUCAUUAACUGAAUCCAUAGGUUAAUGAGGCGAACCGGGGGAACUGAAACAUCUAAGUACCCCGAGGAAAAGAAAUCAACCGAGAUUCCCCCAGUAGCGGCGAGCGAACGGGGAGGAGCCCAGAGCCUGAAUCAGCAUGUGUGUUAGUGGAAGCGUCUGGAAAGGCGCGCGAUACAGGGUGACAGCCCCGUACACAAAAGCGCAUGUGCUGUGAGCUCGAUGAGUAGGGCGGGACACGUGGUAUCCUGUCUGAAUAUGGGGGGACCAUCCUCCAAGGCUAAAUACUCCUGACUGACCGAUAGUGAACCAGUACCGUGAGGGAAAGGCGAAAAGAACCCCGGCGAGGGGAGUGAAAAAGAACCUGAAACCGUGUACGUACAAGCAGUGGGAGCACAGGUUUACCUGUGUGACUGCGUACCUUUUGUAUAAUGGGUCAGCGACUUAUAUUCUGUAGCAAGGUUAACCGAAUAGGGGAGCCGGAGGGAAACCGAGUCUUAAUUGGGCGUUAAGUUGCAGGGUAUAGACCCGAAACCCGGUGAUCUAGCCAUGGGCAGGUUGAAGGUUGGGUAACACUAACUGGAGGACCGAACCGACUAAUGUUGAAAAAUUAGCGGAUGACCUGUGGCUGGGGGUGAAAGGCCAAUCAAACCGGGAGAUAGCUGGUUCUCCCCGAAAGCUAUUUAGGUAGCGCCUCGUGAAUUCAUCUCCGGGGGUAGAGCACUGUUUCGGCUAGGGGGCCAUCCCGGCUUACCAACCCGAUGCAAACUGCGAAUACCGGAGAAUGUUAUCACGGGAGACACACGGCGGGUGCUAACGUCCGUCGUGAAGAGGGAAACAACCCAGACCGCCAGCUAAGGUCCCAAAGUCAUGGUUAAGUGGGAAACGAUGUGGGAAGGCCCAGACAGCCAGGAUGUUGGCUUAGAAGCAGCCAUCAUUUAAAGAAAGCGUAAUAGCUCACUGGUCGAGUCGGCCUGCGCGGAAGAUGUAACGGGGCUAAACCAUGCACCGAAGCUGCGGCAGCGAACGUAUCACUUAAAGCGAUUCAGCGGGUUACGAUUGACGGAGCGAAGCGACGUCAAAGCGUAUACAAAGUCGAGUCGGUUUAAGGAUACGUUCGUUGGGUAGGGGAGCGUUCUGUAAGCCUGUGAAGGUGGCCUGUGAGGGUUGCUGGAGGUAUCAGAAGUGCGAAUGCUGACAUAAGUAACGAUAAAGCGGGUGAAAAGCCCGCUCGCCGGAAGACCAAGGGUUCCUGUCCAACGUUAAUCGGGGCAGGGUGAGUCGACCCCUAAGGCGAGGCCGAAAGGCGUAGUCGAUGGGAAACGGGUUAAUAUUCCCGUACUUGGUGUUACUGCGAAGGGGGGACGGAGAAGGCUAUGUUGGCCGGGCGACGGUUGUCCCGGUUUAAGCGUGUAGGUGUGUGUUCCAGGUAAAUCCGGUUCACUUUAACACUGAGGCGUGACGACGAGGCACUACGGUGCUGAAGCAACAAAUGCCCUGCUUCCAGGAAAAGCCUCUAAGCAUCAGGUAACAUCAAAUCGUACCCCAAACCGACACAGGUGGUCAGGUAGAGAAUACCAAGGCGCUUGAGAGAACUCGGGUGAAGGAACUAGGCAAAAUGGUGCCGUAACUUCGGGAGAAGGCACGCUGACAUGUAGGUGAAGUGAUUUACUCAUGGAGCUGAAGUCAGUCGAAGAUACCAGCUGGCUGCAACUGUUUAUUAAAAACACAGCACUGUGCAAACACGAAAGUGGACGUAUACGGUGUGACGCCUGCCCGGUGCCGGAAGGUUAAUUGAUGGGGUCAGCGCAAGCGAAGCUCCUGAUCGAAGCCCCGGUAAACGGCGGCCGUAACUAUAACGGUCCUAAGGUAGCGAAAUUCCUUGUCGGGUAAGUUCCGACCUGCACGAAUGGCGUAAUGAUGGCCAGGCUGUCUCCACCCGAGACUCAGUGAAAUUGAACUCGCUGUGAAGAUGCAGUGUACCCGCGGCAAGACGGAAAGACCCCGUGAACCUUUACUAUAGCUUGACACUGAACAUUGAGCCUUGAUGUGUAGGAUAGGUGGGAGGCUUUGAAGUGUGGACGCCAGUCUGCAUGGAGCCGACCUUGAAAUACCACCCUUUAAUGUUUGAUGUUCUAACGUGGACCCGUUACCCGGGUUGCGGACAGUGUCUGGUGGGUAGUUUGACUGGGGCGGUCUCCUCCUAAAGAGUAACGGAGGAGCACGAAGGUUGGCUAAUCCUGGUCGGACAUCAGGAGGUUAGUGCAAUGGCAUAAGCCAGCUUGACUGCGAGCGUGACGGCGCGAGCAGGUGCGAAAGCAGGUCAUAGUGAUCCGGUGGUUCUGAAUGGAAGGGCCAUCGCUCAACGGAUAAAAGGUACUCCGGGGAUAACAGGCUGAUACCGCCCAAGAGUUCAUAUCGACGGCGGUGUUUGGCACCUCGAUGUCGGCUCAUCACAUCCUGGGGCUGAAGUAGGUCCCAAGGGUAUGGCUGUUCGCCAUUUAAAGUGGUACGCGAGCUGGGUUUAGAACGUCGUGAGACAGUUCGGUCCCUAUCUGCCGUGGGCGCUGGAGAACUGAGGGGGGCUGCUCCUAGUACGAGAGGACCGGAGUGGACGCAUCACUGGUGUUCGGGUUGUCAUGCCAAUGGCACUGCCCGGUAGCUAAAUGCGGAAGAGAUAAGUGCUGAAAGCAUCUAAGCACGAAACUUGCCCCGAGAUGAGUUCUCCCUGAGACUUAGAGUCUCCUGAAGGAACGUUGAAGACGACGACGUUGAUAGGCCGGGUGUGUAAGCGCAGCGAUGCGUUGAGCUAACCGGUACUAAUGAACCGUGAGGCUUAACCUU
This 2987-nucleotide ribosomal RNA is filed under the name Salmonella enterica subsp. enterica serovar Derby. RNAcentral's name for it is "bacterial LSU rRNA". It matches the Rfam family "Bacterial large subunit ribosomal RNA". Lineage: Bacteria; Pseudomonadati; Pseudomonadota; Gammaproteobacteria; Enterobacterales; Enterobacteriaceae. The record is from RNAcentral.